Molecule: ribosomal RNA, 408 nt
Filed under: bacterium enrichment culture clone ALO1_GLFRUDD03HI51V
Lineage: Bacteria
Description: bacterial SSU rRNA
Rfam family: Bacterial small subunit ribosomal RNA
Source: RNAcentral
GAGUUUGAUCUUGGCUCAGAUUGAACGCUGGCGGCAUGCCUUACACAUGCAAGUCGAACGGCAGCACGGGAGCUUGCUCCUGGUGGCGAGUGGCGAACGGGUGAGUAAUGCAUCGGAACGUAUCCUGGAGUGGGGGAUAACGUAGCGAAAGUUACGCUAAUACCGCAUAUUCUGUGAGCAGGAAAGCGGGGGACCUUCGGGCCUCGCGCUCUUGGAGCGGCCGAUGCCGGAUUAGCUAGUUGGUGAGGUAAAGGCUCACCAAGGCGACGAUCCGUAGCAGGUCUGAGAGGAUGAUCUGCCACACUGGAACUGAGACACGGUCCAGACUCCUACGGGAGGCAGCAGUGGGAAUUUUGGACAAUGGGGGCAACCCGUGAUCCAGCCAUGCCGCGUGAGUGAAGAAGGCCU